GUGGACUGACGGGUAGCUUGUUAAAAUAUGUUGAUAUGAUAACCAGUAAAGCAAUACUUGAAAAAGCCACUAAUGUUAUCGCUAAUGUAUACAUACAGCUCAUGUUUAGGGAGGUGGCAUACUGGCAGUAAUGGGACUAUAUACUGGCAAGUCAUCUGUUCAGUUUCUUUGCAUAAUGCAUGAUCUCCUAGCAAUGAGUAUCGACUAAAGGAAUUACUUUGUGGAAUAGGGAAAUUAUUUAGCAGGCCACAUGAAAAUAGAGUUUUGGUCAACAGAGUAUCGACUAAAGGAACAAUUUGUGCAUGGCAAAACUUAAGUACAACAUCAGUUGCAGCGAUCAAUGGCAGCUAUUGGCACCUCCCUCGCGGUUGGUGACGACGCGCUGGCCCCCUCUGAUCCCGUCACCUACUUGAGGGUGGCAGCUUACUACAGGGCAGUGGCGCAGGAUCCAGAGCAGAAGAUGGGAGUUAUCCGACUUCCAACUCUGAUUUCACCCAACGGUGAUCAUUUGUUUGCAUAUUGUGACCAUCACUUUUGAUUAUCUGUUGUUUGUGAUCACCAAUGGAACUAAAUUGUUGUAGCUCUAGAUUGCGCUGGAGAGCACAACAUAAAUACAUAAUGAAAGGAUUGGUGAAGAAAGGAAGAAGGUUGGCAAUCGUUAUUGUGUUUGCAAACCGAAUUGUCGCUGUUGUUCCUUAAUUUUCAGGUUUUAUGAUGGCAGGUUUACAGCCCGGUGGAAUCGCUGAGAUCCAAGGAAGAGAGGAGCGGAGGGAGGCCAUUGUGCCAUAGUUCUCUGUCCCAAGUCCUGCAGCAUCUAGCCUCAGACAAUGGCAGCCCCAAUCCUUGUUGAUAGGUAAGCCCUGAUCCCAGCAAUGGUUGUGGGCCAGGAUGCAAAUAGGCAGUACGGCUUCCACCAUCUGGCUGGUACACUAGGAGGAAAAUGGAUGGCCAUGGCCCUGCUGCAAAACAGACUAAUGGUCUCUCGCUG
This 988-nucleotide long non-coding RNA is filed under the name Sorghum bicolor (sorghum). Its description in RNAcentral is "long non-coding RNA (SBIC_LNC018305)". Lineage: Eukaryota; Viridiplantae; Streptophyta; Magnoliopsida; Poales; Poaceae. The record is from RNAcentral.